Molecule: long non-coding RNA, 408 nt
Organism: Sarcophilus harrisii (Tasmanian devil)
Lineage: Eukaryota; Metazoa; Chordata; Mammalia; Dasyuromorphia; Dasyuridae
Exons: 3
Source: RefSeq, a predicted model, not a curated record
UAUGUACAAAUGUGCCCUAGAAUUACAUCAUUGUAAAUAUUUUCAAGGAGGUGGGGUCUAAAGCUUAAAAAGAGGGAUUUUAGAGCCAGGAAGGAAUAAGCUCAGCAGGAGCAGGAGCAGGUCUGAUUUUCUGCAGUUCUGAGGCUGGGUAACAGAUACUGAGGUUUCCAUUUCUUUGCUUCUUGCUUUGGGAUUCUAGACCACCAUCAUAAAGAGAACAGGAAAAAGGCAAAAGAGACAAAAUCUUUAAGCAAUUGGCGCACCAGUUUGUGAAUUCUUUCAUUGAACCUGCACUGACCAGAAGGGGAUUCUCAUACCUCAACUCUCUGCAUUGCUACUAACCUCAUCAAGAAGAUCUAAGUUCAAAGCAAGAUAACUGUAUAAAUCUGCGUUAAGGACCAUGCCUAG